UCUGAUGGAGCACGCCGCGUGAGUGAUGAAGGUUUUCGGAUCGUAAAACUCUGUUGUUAAAGAAGAACAAGUGUUAGAGUAACUGUUAACACUUUGACGGUAUUUAACCAGAAAGCCACGGCUAACUACGUGCCAGCAGCCGCGGUAAUACGUAGGUGGCAAGCGUUGUCCGGAUUUAUUGGGCGUAAAGCGAGCGCAGGCGGUUUUGUAAGUCUGCUGUGAAAGCCCUCAGCUCAACUGAGGAAGUGCAGUGGAAACUACAAAACUUGAGUACAGAAGAGGAAAGUGGAACUCCAUGUGUAGCGGUGAAAUGCGUAGAUAUAUGGAAGAACACCAGUGGCGAAGGCGGCUUUCUGGUCUGUUACUGACGCUGAGGCUCGAAAGCAUGGGUAGCGAACAGGAUUAGAUACCCUGGUAGUCCAUGCCGUAAACGAUGAAUACUAGGUGUUGGAGGGUUUCCGCCCUUCAGUGCCGCAGCUAACGCAUUAAGUAUUCCGCCUGGGGAGUACGACCGCAAGGUUGAAACUCAAAGGAAUUGACGGGGGCCCGCACAAGUGGUGGAGCAUGUGGUUUAAUUCGAUGCUACGCGAAGAACCUUACCAGCUCUUGACAUCUUCUGCCAACCCAAGAGAUUGGGCGUUCCCUUCGGGGACAGAAUGACAGGUGGUGCAUGGUUGUCGUCAGCUCGUGUCGUGAGAUGUUGGGUUAAGUCCCGCAACGAGCGCAACCCUUAUUAUUAGUUGCCAGCAUUUAGUUGGGCACUCUAGUGAGACUGCCGGUGAUAAACCGGAGGAAGGUGGGGACGACGUCAAAUCAUCAUGCCCCUUAUGAGCUGGGCUACACACGUGCUACAAUGGAUGGUACAACGAGUCGCGAAACCGCGAGGUCAAGCUAAUCUCUUAAAGCCAUUCUCAGUUCGGAUUGCAGGCUGCAACUCGCCUGC
Molecule: ribosomal RNA, 943 nt
Filed under: Apilactobacillus kunkeei
Lineage: Bacteria; Bacillati; Bacillota; Bacilli; Lactobacillales; Lactobacillaceae
Description: bacterial SSU rRNA
Rfam family: Bacterial small subunit ribosomal RNA
Source: RNAcentral